RNAcentral lists this ribosomal RNA (449 nucleotides) under uncultured bacterium. RNAcentral's name for it is "partial 16S ribosomal RNA". It matches the Rfam family "Bacterial small subunit ribosomal RNA", at positions 29 to 523 of the family's 1533-position model. The record is from RNAcentral.
AGCGAACGCUGGCGGCAGGCCUAACACAUGCAAGUCGAAUGGAUCCCUCGGGAUUAGUGGCGGACGGGUGAGUAACACGUGGGAACGUGCCCUUUGGUUCGGAACAACUCAGCGAAACUUGAGCUAAUACCGGAUGUGCCCUUCGGGGCAAAGAUCUAUCGCCAUUGGAGCGGCCCGCGUCUGAUUAGCUAGGUCGUUAGGUAAAGGCUCACCAAGGCGACGAUCAGUUGGGGGUCUGAGAGGAUGAUCAGCCACAUUGGGACUGAGACACGACCCAAACUCCUACGGGAGGCAGCAGUGGGGAAUCUUGCGCAAUAGGCGAAAGCCUGACGCAGCCAUGCCGCGUGAAUGAUGAAGGUCUUAGGAUUGUAAAAUUCUUUCACCGGGGACGAUAAUGACGGUACCCGGAGAAGAAGCCCCGGCUAACUUCGUGCCAGCCGCCGCCGUAA